CGGUAAUACCAGCUCUCCGAGUGGUGGGGACGAUUAUUGGGCUUAAAGCGUUCGUAGCCGGCUCAGCAAGUCUUCCGUUAAAUCCAACGAUCUAAUCGUUGGGCUGCGGGAGAUACUGUUGGGCUAGGGGGCGGGAGAAGCCGACGGUAUCCUCGGGGUAGGGGUGAAAUCCUAUAAUCCCGGGAAGACCACCAGUGGCGAAGGCGGUCGGCUAGAACGCGCCCGACGGUGAGGGACGAAAGCUGGGGGAGCGAACCGGAUUAGAUACCCGGGUAGUCCCAGCCUGUAAACGAUGCGGGCUAGGUGUUGGGGCGGUCACGAACCGCCUCAGUGCCGCACGGAAGCAAUUAAGCCCGCCGCCUGGGGAGUACGGUCGCAAGGCUGAAACUUAAAGGAAUUGGCG
RNAcentral lists this ribosomal RNA (403 nucleotides) under uncultured archaeon. RNAcentral describes it as "bacterial SSU rRNA". It matches the Rfam family "Archaeal small subunit ribosomal RNA", at positions 468 to 870 of the family's 1478-position model. The record is from RNAcentral.